UUAGAUACCCUAUUAUACUGAUAAAACCCUUAAUUAUUAAUAGAUAUAGUCUUUAAACUUAAAGAAUUUGGCGGUGAUUUAAUCUUAUUAGAGGAAUCUGUUUUAUGAAUCGAUAAACCACGUAAAAUCUUACUCACUUUAACUUAGCUUAUAUACCGUCAUUAUCAGAUGAUUUCUGAGAGAAUAAAUGUAAUCAUUGGGGUUUAUGAAGAGAAUAAAUUAAAUUAGAUCAAGGUGUAGCUUAUAUGUGAGUUAAAAUGGAUUACAAUAAAGUAUAUUUAAUACGAAUUAAAUGUAAGAAAAAUUUUAUGAAGGAGGAUUUAAUUGUAAUGGGAGUUUAAUAAGCUCUUAAGAUAUAAGCACUAAAUUAUGUACAUAUCGCCCGUCGCUA
RNAcentral lists this ribosomal RNA (391 nucleotides) under Pseudoliomera variolosa. RNAcentral describes it as "partial 12S ribosomal RNA". Lineage: Eukaryota; Metazoa; Arthropoda; Malacostraca; Decapoda; Xanthidae. The record is from RNAcentral.